Molecule: ribosomal RNA, 735 nt
Filed under: uncultured Fusobacterium sp.
Lineage: Bacteria; Fusobacteriati; Fusobacteriota; Fusobacteriia; Fusobacteriales; Fusobacteriaceae
Description: bacterial SSU rRNA
Rfam family: Bacterial small subunit ribosomal RNA
Source: RNAcentral
GAUGAACGCUGACAGAAUGCUUAACACAUGCAAGUCAACUUGAAUUUGGGUUUUUAACUUAGAUUUGGGUGGCGGACGGGUGAGUAACGCGUAAAGAACUUGCCUCACAGAUAGGGACAACAUUUGGAAACGAACGCUAAUACCUGAUAUUAUGAUUUUAGGGCAUCCUAGGAUUAUGAAAGCUAUAUGCGCUGUGAGAGAGCUUUGCGUCCCAUUAGCUAGUUGGAGAGGUAACGGCUCACCAAGGCGAUGAUGGGUAGCCGGCCUGAGAGGGUGAUCGGCCACAAGGGGACUGAGACACGGCCCUUACUCCUACGGGAGGCAGCAGUGGGGAAUAUUGGACAAUGGACCAAGAGUCUGAUCCAGCAAUUCUGUGUGCACGAUGAAGUUUUUCGGAAUGUAAAGUGCUUUCAGUUGGGAAGAAAUAAAUGACGGUACCAACAGAAGAAGUGACGGCUAAAUACGUGCCAGCAGCCGCGGUAAUACGUAUGUCACGAGCGUUAUCCGGAUUUAUUGGGCGUAAAGCGCGUCUAGGUGGUUAUGUAAGUCUGAUGUGAAAAUGCAGGGCUCAACUCUGUAUUGCGUUGGAAACUGUAUAACUAGAGUACUGGAGAGGUAAGCGGAACUACAAGUGUAGAGGUGAAAUUCGUAGAUAUUUGUAGGAAUGCCGAUGGGGAAGCCAGCUUACUGGACAGAUACUGACGCUGAAGCGCGAAAGCGUGGGUAGCAAACAGG